RNAcentral lists this ribosomal RNA (253 nucleotides) under uncultured bacterium. RNAcentral's name for it is "partial 16S ribosomal RNA". It matches the Rfam family "Bacterial small subunit ribosomal RNA", at positions 524 to 776 of the family's 1533-position model. The record is from RNAcentral.
UACGGAGGGUGCAAGCGUUGUCCGGAUUCACUGGGUUUAAAGGGUGCGUAGGUGGGCUAGUAAGUCCGUGGUGAAAUCUCCAAGCUUAACUUGGAAACUGCCGUGGAUACUAUUAGUCUUGAAUAUUGUGGAGGUAAGCGGAAUAUGUCAUGUAGCGGUGAAAUGCUUAGAUAUGACAUAGAACACCGAUAGCGAAGGCAGCUUGCUACACAAUCAUUGACACUGAGGCACGAAAGCGUGGGGAUCAAACAGG